GAAAUGCGAUAAGUAAUGUGAAUUGCAGAAUUCAGUGAAUCAUCGAAUCUUUGAACGCACCUUGCGCUCCUUGGUAUUCCGAGGAGCAUGCCUGUUUGAGUGUCGUGUAAUUCUCAACCUAUAAAUCCUUGUGGUUUUUAGGCUUGGACUUGGAGGCUUUUGCUGGCUUUACCGUCGGCUCCUCUUAAAUGCAUUAGCUUGAUUCCUUGCGGAUCGGCUCUCAGUGUGAUAAUUAUCUGCGCUGUGACCGUGAAGCGUUUGGCGAGCUUCUAACCGUCUCUUUGAGACAAACACUUUGACAUCUGACCUCAAAUCAGGUAGGACUACCCGCUGAACUUAA
RNAcentral lists this unclassified non-coding RNA (340 nucleotides) under uncultured Agaricomycetes. RNAcentral describes it as "sequence contains ITS1". The stretch from base 1 to 105 matches the Rfam family "5.8S ribosomal RNA", at positions 50 to 154 of the family's 154-position model. Lineage: Eukaryota; Fungi; Basidiomycota; Agaricomycetes. The record is from RNAcentral.